This 86-nucleotide transfer RNA is filed under the name Nematostella vectensis (starlet sea anemone). It matches the Rfam family "tRNA". Rfam says of the family: Transfer RNA (tRNA) molecules are approximately 80 nucleotides in length. Their secondary structure includes four short double-helical elements and three loops (D, anti-codon, and T loops). Lineage: Eukaryota; Metazoa; Cnidaria; Anthozoa; Actiniaria; Edwardsiidae. The record is from Rfam by way of RNAcentral.
GCGUCGUUAGCGCAAUAGGCAGCGCGUCAGUCUCAUAAUCAAAUCUAGAAAUCUGAAGGUCGUGAGUUCGAUCCCCAGACGGGGCA